GGGGCCGUAGCUCAGUUGGUAGAGCGUCUCGUUCGCAAUGAGAAGGUCAGGAGUUCGAUUCUCCUCGGCUCCACCA
Molecule: transfer RNA, 76 nt
Filed under: Steroidobacteraceae bacterium
Lineage: Bacteria; Pseudomonadati; Pseudomonadota; Gammaproteobacteria; Steroidobacterales; Steroidobacteraceae
Description: tRNA-Ala
Rfam family: tRNA
About the family: Transfer RNA (tRNA) molecules are approximately 80 nucleotides in length. Their secondary structure includes four short double-helical elements and three loops (D, anti-codon, and T loops).
Source: RNAcentral